This 207-nucleotide ribosomal RNA is filed under the name uncultured bacterium. RNAcentral describes it as "partial 16S ribosomal RNA". It matches the Rfam family "Bacterial small subunit ribosomal RNA", at positions 568 to 774 of the family's 1533-position model. The record is from RNAcentral.
CGUGCAGGCGGUUCGGUAAGUUGGGCGUGAAAUCUCCCGGCUCAACUGGGAGGGGUCGUUCAAUACUACCGAACUUGAGAGCGAUAGAGGAAAAUGGAAUUCCCGGUGUAGUGGUGAAAUGCGUAGAUAUCGGGAGGAACACCAGUGGCGAAAGCGAUUUUCUGGAUCGUUUCUGACGCUCAGACGCGAAAGCUAGGGUAGCAAACG